This 377-nucleotide unclassified non-coding RNA is filed under the name uncultured Parachlamydiaceae bacterium. Its description in RNAcentral is "contains 16S-23S intergenic spacer region". The record is from RNAcentral. Lineage: Bacteria; Pseudomonadati; Chlamydiota; Chlamydiia; Parachlamydiales; Parachlamydiaceae.
UCCUGGUUAACCCAGGCAGUCUCAUUAGAGUUCCCACCUUAAAUGUUGGCAACUAAUGAUAAGGGUUGCGCUCGUUGCGGGACUUAACCCAACACCUCACGGCACGAGCUGACGACAGCCAUGCAGCACCUGUUCACGAGUCCCGAAGGAAGAUCCUAUUUCUAGGACUGUCUCGUGUAUGUCAAGUCUGGGUAAGGUUCUUCGCGUUGCAUCGAAUUAAACCACAUGCUCCACUGCUUGUGCGGGUCCCCGUCAAUUCUUUUGAGUUUCACCCUUGCGAGUGUACUCCCCAGGCGGUAUACUUAACGCGUUAGCUCCGGCACUACUAGGGUUGAUUCCAGUAACACCAAGUAUACAUAGUUUACGGCAAGGACUAC